Non-coding RNA from Gammaproteobacteria bacterium 13_2_20CM_66_19, 387 nucleotides. The record is from Rfam. Lineage: Bacteria; Pseudomonadati; Pseudomonadota; Gammaproteobacteria.
AGAGUCGGCCGGGCAGUCGCUGCCUCCGCCAGCGAUGGCGGGAGCGGAGGAAAGUCCGGGCUCCGGCGGAUCGGGUGCCAGGUAACGCCUGGGGGGCGUGAGCCCACGGAAAGUGCAACAGAGAGCAGACCGCCCAAGUCCCUCGCGGGACCGGCAAGGGUGAAACGGUGCGGUAAGAGCGCACCGCGUCGGUGGCAACACGCGACGGCACGGUAAACCCCACCUGGAGCAAGGCCAAAUAGGGAAGCCGCGCCGGUCCUUUAAAAGGGGCCGGCGCAGCGCUGAUCCGCGCGCGCUUCCGGGUAGGCCGCUAGAGGUCCACGGUGACGGGGACCCCAGAGGAAUGACCGCCCUCGACAGAACCCGGCUUACAGGCCGACUCUCACU